Molecule: long non-coding RNA, 457 nt
Organism: Cherax quadricarinatus
Lineage: Eukaryota; Metazoa; Arthropoda; Malacostraca; Decapoda; Parastacidae
Source: RefSeq, a predicted model, not a curated record
UCACUUGGUUUUCUUCUCUCGUCAUGACUCCUUGCUGGAUGGUUCGGGUCACCCAACAGAUGCUAGUCGAGACGAGCAACAUGAUCUGAUAAUAGAUCAGAAACUAAAGAAUUUAUCAUCUUCGGAACUCUACUGUUCCUCCACAUUUGAACAUACGGGCUCCACACACAGCUUUAAGAGCGGGUACAGCAAGGCACUCGAUGCUAGAAGGGAGUGAAUCUGGCAAGAAUCGGGACCAGGAGCUAUGACUAGACCCAUACAACCACAAAGUAACUUAACCUAUUUGCUCUGUUGUAAUACUAGACCUGUAAUAGCACAUGGACCACGGUUCAUGGACCAUGGUUCAUGGUCCACGGUUCAGAUCUCAAGCAUGGACCUGUUUAUUAACGGAUAUGCAUGCAUGUAUUUAUGAACAGAUGCAAAAGUAUCCGUGUAAGUAUAUAUGCAUCUUGGUAAA